CGGGUGAAUAACACGUGGGGAACCUCCCCGGAAGACCGGGAUAACUCCGGGAAACCGGAGCUAAUACCGGAUAACACCGAAGACCGCUUGGUCUUUGGUUGAAAGGCGGCCUUUGGGUGUCACUUGCGGAUGGGCCCGCGGCGCAUUANCUAGUUGGUGAGGUAACGGCUCACCAAGGCGACGAUGCGUACCCGGCCUGAGAGGGUGACCGGCCACACUGGGACUGAAACACUGCCCUUAUUCCUACGGGAGGCAGCAGUAGGGAAUCUUCCGCAAUGGGCGAAAGCCUGAGGGAGCGACGCCGCGUGAGCGAAGAAGGCCUUCGGAUCGUAAAGCUCUGUUGUGAGGGACGAAGGAGCGCCGUUCGAAGAGGGCGGCCCGGUGAGGGUACCUCACGAGGAAGGGGGAGUACGGCCGCAAGGCUGAAACUCAAAGGUAAUUACGGGGGCCCGCACAAGCGGUGGAGCAUGUGGUUUAAUUCGAAGCAACGCGAAGAACCUUACCAGGUCUUGACAUCCCCUGACAACCCAAGAGAUUGGGCGUUCCCCCUUCGGGGGGACAGGGUGACAGGUGGUGCAUGGUUGUCGUCAGCUCGUGUCGUGAGAUGUUGGGUUAAGUCCCGCAACGAGCGCAACCCUCGCCUCUAGUUGCCAGCACGAAGGUGGGCACUCUAGAGGGACUGCCGGCGACAAGUCGGAGGAAGGUGGGGAUGACGUCAAAUCAUCAUGCCCCUUAUGACCUGGGCUACACACGUGCUACAAUGGGCGGUACAAAGGGCUGCGAACNCGCGAGGGGGAGCGAAUCCCAAAAAGCCGCUCUCAGUUCGGAUUGCAGGCUGCAACUCGCCUGCAUGAAGCCGGAAUCGCUAGUAAUCGCGGAUCAGCAUGCCGCGGUGAAAACGUUCCCGGGCCUUGUACACCCCGCCCGUCACACCAACAGAGCUUGCAACAGCCGAAGU
Molecule: ribosomal RNA, 958 nt
Filed under: Geobacillus sp. R5.10
Lineage: Bacteria; Bacillati; Bacillota; Bacilli; Caryophanales; Anoxybacillaceae
Description: bacterial SSU rRNA
Rfam family: Bacterial small subunit ribosomal RNA
Source: RNAcentral